RNAcentral lists this ribosomal RNA (253 nucleotides) under uncultured bacterium. RNAcentral's name for it is "partial 16S ribosomal RNA". It matches the Rfam family "Bacterial small subunit ribosomal RNA", at positions 524 to 776 of the family's 1533-position model. The record is from RNAcentral.
UACGUAGGGGGCAAGCGUUGUCCGGAUUUAUUGGGCGUAAAGAGCGUGUAGGCGGCCAGGUAGGUCCGUUGUGAAAACUGGAGGCUUAACCUCCAGCUGUCGAUGGAAACCAUCUGGCUAGAGUCCGGAAGAGGAGAGUGGAAUUCCUGGUGUAGCGGUGAAAUGCGCAGAUAUCUGGAGGAACACCGGUGGCGAAGGCGGCAUCCUGGACCGACACUGACGCUGAAAAGCGAAAGCCAGGGGAGCAAACGGG